UUCAGCAGCAUCUACUAAAGUUGCUGCGGUUAAAAGGCUCGCAGUUGAAUGUCGGUAUCGAGCCCAGGUCAGGUGGACGCUGGGGCGUGGGAACACGGAGGCUUUGUGCUGUGCGGUGUAACAGCCAAGCUCGCAUUGUCUUCUCUCACAAGCUCCCGUCCGUAAACAGCCUCCUGGCUCGCUUACAUAAUUGGUCUGGCUUAUGGAGUGCGCGUGGGUGCUGUGGGUUGGCCGCAGUGUUCAGGCUCGGACUUCUAGGUCUGUGGUCUGGCUCUGUGACUGCUCGCACGUGCCUCGUGCUCAAGCUCCUAUGGAUCUGGUGUCACCCUGAGUAAAUCAGAGUGUUCAAAGCAGUCGUGUGGGCGCAAGCCCUUAGAACCUCCUUGGAGGACUGACUUGGUUUUGCAUGGCAUGUCGGAAGACGACGUCGUGUGCUGGCUCAGGGAAAUAUCAGUGGUGCAAGCCAGCCACGACGUAAUGAUUAAAAGGACUGGUCGAGGGCAUUGGUAUUGCGGGGCGAGAGGUGAAAUUCUGUGACCCCCGCAAGACCUCCUGAAGCGAAAGCGUCUGCCAAGGACGUUUUCAUUAAUCAUGAACGAAAGUUAGAGGAUCGAAGGCGAUCAGAUACCGCCCUAGUUCUAACCCUAAACGAUGCCAACCAUCAAUCCGCGCGUAGCACCCUAUUUUACGGGCUCGGCGGGCAGCUCCUCGCUCACGGGAAACCAGAGUCUCUGGGUUCCGGGGGGAGUCUGGUUGCAAAGCUGAAACUUAAAGGAAUUGACGGAAA
Molecule: ribosomal RNA, 787 nt
Filed under: Ampelisca environmental sample
Lineage: Eukaryota; Metazoa; Arthropoda; Malacostraca; Amphipoda; Ampeliscidae
Description: SSU rRNA
Rfam family: Eukaryotic small subunit ribosomal RNA
Source: RNAcentral